This 636-nucleotide long non-coding RNA is filed under the name Gossypium barbadense (sea-island cotton). Its description in RNAcentral is "long non-coding RNA (GBAR_LNC016598)". Lineage: Eukaryota; Viridiplantae; Streptophyta; Magnoliopsida; Malvales; Malvaceae. The record is from RNAcentral.
GUUCUCAACACGAUAUUUCUGAGCCACGCUAGGAGAGGGUAGGUGAAAGAUCAUCAUUUCCAGGAGAGCACUGCUUGCAGGAAGCCAGGUCUGCAUAACACGCUUCAUGAGGGCCUUACCCAUCAAGUCCUUCUCUUCAGACUUCAUGGUGACACCAAGCUUUUGUAGCAUGGGCCAUAGCUUAUCUUUCUGGUCAUUCAUACAAGUGUUGAUGAUCUGCUUGAUGGGCUCAUAACAGAAUUGAACAAAACCACGCUUGCAGGUGGCAGUGCCAGUGUUCUUGGUGGUCCAUUUCCUGGUAGCUGGAUCAAAAAAGUUCUCACCCCAAAGCCUUUCCAUCAUUUUGGACUCAUCGACUCCAAACUUUGAGGCAUACAUUUUAGCAAAGUUGGUCAAGGUAAAAGCCCAACCAUGCAAACCAGCAGAGAAGGCAACUGUUCCCUUCUCAGGGUAGACUUGAACAUCACCAAGAAGAGGAUCUUCAUAGGUGGCCAUGAUGACAUUAGCAUUUUCGAUCACUCUCUGGAAUGUCUGGUAAGCCUCCUCUCCAUCAACCUGAAGCUCAAGGAAGCACCUAUCCAUCUUGUUAACAGUCAAGACAGGCCUGAUCCUUUCUCCAAGAGCCUGACGGAGGAC